This is a long non-coding RNA of Brassica oleracea var. oleracea, 893 nucleotides long. RefSeq lists it as uncharacterized. The transcript has 3 exons. The record is from RefSeq and is a predicted model, not a curated record. Lineage: Eukaryota; Viridiplantae; Streptophyta; Magnoliopsida; Brassicales; Brassicaceae.
AAUACUUUUCUUUCUUCUCCCCUCCAAACCGAAUGUAUCGCUCAAACCAUAUCGAAAGUUGAUCUCUUUCUGGAAAAAAAGAAAGACGAAACCCACAUAAUCUUAUGUUCCUCUGUUCAUCUCGGUUCGGUCUCGAAUAGGUUAUGGGAGAUAAAGUCGACGACUUUAGGGUUUGCGUCGCUGGAAUCCAAAGAUUGGGUUGAAUCAACGUUAACGAGAACAUCGAAUUCGGAGAAGAGUCCGAUAAAGAUCUGUCCAGAUUCGAUUGACUUCCUCAGAUUCUCGUUUUCGAUCUCGAUUGAAGUUUCACCACCACACUCCUUUUGACAUUGUAUGCUGGCUCGCAGUUGACUAAAUACUCUUUGUUCUCACCAUCGCGUAUGAAUCUCGUUUGCUCUUGUGCUUUUGUUUUGGGAAUCAAGGAUCACUGUCUGUCUCUUCGGGAUUGAAACUGUCCAUUUGAUGCUCAUUUGACAAGGCUCUAGAGAGUGUAGAUGAAGCUCUUGUGACCUUCUGUGGUUGGUCCUUUCGGUCAUCUUGUUGCUUGAGUGAUGCCUGUGAAGUUGCAGUCUUUCUUUCAUGUCUGAGAUACAUUGAAAGUUUAACUAUGAGCUGUGUAGAGUUAGCAAAGACCAGAGGAAGAGAGAUGUACAUCGUCUUGCCUCCAAUCACUUUGUUUAAGAUCCUACUUUGUAUUAGUUCAUCAAACUAUGGCAGGGGCGGACUCAAGUACAGUAUGGGUGUGGCACGUGCCACAUACUGAUAUUAUAUAUGCUUUGUGUAAGAAAUAUAUAGAUGCAAGUGUGUAGCUUAUUUGGCUCUAAAGGUUUAUUUGUGCUCCACCCACUCAUUGUUCGAACCAUGAGCUAUAUGGAUUUUGUCAUUUCAUUUUA